This 296-nucleotide small RNA is filed under the name Plasmodium vivax (malaria parasite P. vivax). RNAcentral describes it as "sRNA PVP01_0209800". The record is from RNAcentral. Lineage: Eukaryota; Apicomplexa; Aconoidasida; Haemosporida; Plasmodiidae.
GACCAAUUUAACAUAAUAAUGUUACGCGCAGAAAAUGUACAGAAAAUUUGUUUCCAAGUUUUCAUUUCAUCUGCUAGGAAAGUCCCCGAGAUUGGGGAAUUCUCAAUUUUGAGUGUUCCCUUUUUAGGAAAGCUAGUAACCUGAUAAGUUACGUAUCUUAUAGUAUCCUUGCGCGGGAUGUAAUUUUUUUUGCAACCCGUCCAAGGCAUGUGAAAUGUAGAGUUAAAUGUAACAUGUGCUACUACCGCUACCUUCGGUGGCAUAACAGAAUGGGGCUUAUAUAUAUGUUAAAUUCC